AUUGAACGCUGGCGGCAUGCCUUACACAUGCAAGUCGAACGGCAGCACGGGAGCAAUCCUGGUGGCGAGUGGCGAACGGGUGAGUAAUGUAUCGGAACGUACCUUUCAGUGGGGGAUAACGUAGCGAAAGUUACGCUAAUACCGCAUAUUCUGUGAGCAGGAAAGCAGGGGAUCGCAAGACCUUGCGCCGAUUGAGCGGCCGAUAUCAGAUUAGCUAGUUGGUGAGGUAAAGGCUCACCAAGGCGACGAUCUGUAGCGGGUCUGAGAGGAUGAUCCGCCACACUGGAACUGAGACACGGUCCAGACUCCUACGGGAGGCAGCAGUGGGGAAUUUUGGACAAUGGGCGCAAGCCUGAUCCAGCCAAGCCGCGUGAGUGAAGAAGGCC
This 386-nucleotide ribosomal RNA is filed under the name uncultured bacterium. Its description in RNAcentral is "bacterial SSU rRNA". It matches the Rfam family "Bacterial small subunit ribosomal RNA", at positions 30 to 416 of the family's 1533-position model. The record is from RNAcentral.